Molecule: unclassified non-coding RNA, 200 nt
Filed under: uncultured Thelephoraceae
Lineage: Eukaryota; Fungi; Basidiomycota; Agaricomycetes; Thelephorales; Thelephoraceae
Description: sequence contains ITS1
Source: RNAcentral
AUGAAUUGUCGACACGAGUUGUUGCUGGUCCCCAAACCGGGGGCAUGUGCACGCUCUGUUUACACAUCCACUCACACCUGUGCACCCUCUGUAGUUCUGUGGCCUGGGGGUCUCCGCCCUCUUGCCGUGGUUCUACGUCUUUACACACACACUGUAAUAAAGUCAUAUGGAAUGUAUGUCGCGUUUAACGCAAUACAAUA